This 95-nucleotide transfer RNA is filed under the name Anaerolineae bacterium. Its description in RNAcentral is "tRNA-Sec". It matches the Rfam family "Selenocysteine transfer RNA". The record is from RNAcentral. Lineage: Bacteria; Bacillati; Chloroflexota; Anaerolineae.
GGGAGUGGUUGUGUUCCGGUGGAUGCCCCAGUCUUCAACACUGGUGGUCGGCUGCGUGACAGGCGACGGUGGGUUCGACUCCCAUCCAUUCCCGA